AGGUCAAGGUUUUAAGCGUGAAUGUAUAGAAGGAAAUAAUAUCGGCCCAGCAUUCUUGCAAAUGAUACUUACAGUUUCUCAAGGGAUCGUAUUAACCAUGAAACGUAUAUUCAAAUGCAUUUCGUUUCACUAAUUGCCAAGAGGUACGAAUUAAUUAGAAAGAAAACACUCAUGAAAAUAAAUUAACUAUAUCGCUCAUUGAAAGGCAGACCAUCCACAAAACAUAAGUGCGAGAUAUGAGGGAUCUUGAGCAAUUCGAAUCAAUUCUCCCACAGAAGCUUCUACUGAAAGAGUACUUGAUAAUUUCUGUCUUACUUUAAGUAUAGCUCUUUCGGCUUCCGAUUCUCCCGAUACAUUAUUCCUUUGUAUCUUGGGGUCUCUAGAAGCAUCCGUUGUAAUAUUCCCGCUCUCUGGUUGAUUAAAGUUUUCAAGUUGCAUCUUUUGUUUUUUCAUCCUUCUCAAAGGUGAAAUAAGCCAAGAAAAUAAUGGAUCAUAUCUUAAAACUUCCAGGACAGACAGUAGUGAAUCCUCUUCCCGUCGAAGUGUUUCUAAUGUAAACUCCAUGCAUCUUCGAAAUACCCCUUCAACCCCGGUAAUUCCCAUACCAUCUACAACGUCUCUUGUAAGUCGAAAGGGAACACAUUCAGGAACGGGUAGUUUUUUACCUUGUUCGAAAGCAAUUCCUAGAUCAAUGUGAAUCACUUCUCCACUCGUUUUGUCUAUUAAAAUAUUUUGCCCAUGUCUAUCUCCAAGUCCCAAAACAUGUCCCAGGACAGAAGCAACAGCAGUGCUUCGUGCGUAAUUUGUUUGCGUUGUAAACCAUUGCACUGGAUCAGCGUAACUCUCGAGGAAAAAAUGGCGAAAGACAGGACGAUAAUGUCUACAAACUAAAUCGUAAACUUUCAAUCUAGUUUCCAAAUCCUCCAUUUGUUUCUCAGCUAUUAAUUUUCGACAAGUACUCAAAGACCAUUCCUUAGGAUGGUAAACCUUGUGAGCCGAAUCCAGAUACUCACCCAAGGGAAUGGUAUCUUGAACCCACUCUAUGACACCUGUCUUUAAUGCUAAUGGAAUCACCUUAUAAGUACGCAUUGACAGAUUUCUUUGACUGGUUUUUCGAUAGCUCCUGAGAAAUCCGUUUACUUGCUCAAACACCUGUUCCAUAACAGCAUCUUGACGAAGAUCAUCAUUCCCCCCUUUAACCAACUGUUUAUAUGUGUGACCAUUUGAGCCCAAACAUGUAAUAACUUUUGGCGCAUUAAUCCCUGAGGCAAAAUGAAUGGUAUCAUCGAAUGAAGAAACGGUAGGGAUGUUUGAAUAAUCACCUGUAUCAUUUACCUUUACGUUCAUUGUUAUAGGAGGUAAUCCAUAGUUUGCUGCAUCUUUUAGAAACCAUUUAUAUCCAGGAAAUCGACUAAAAGAUGUACUGUCAACUUUGCUCCUGGGAUUCCACUCUGCUAAACUUACAUAGUUUUCAAAGGAGCACAAAAGUUUGGUGACUAAAUUGGAUAAUCCUUGAUUAACUUUUAACAGAUCAAGGAUUUUUUUAACUGCUCUAUACCGUGAUCCAGCAUCGAGAUUUUCAAUUUCUGGAACAUUGGACACAAGCGAAAACAAAACAUGCAAAGAGUGAUAAGGAUGAUUACGUCCAACGUUGUAGCAUAUAGAUGUCAACGAUUGUUGAAAUUUCGAGUUCUCGUUCAUCAAACGAGCUGCCAAUUGAUAAAAGACAGGUAUAAACUUUUUACAAGGCAAGUUUUGUAAAUAGUGCUGUAAGGAAUUGUUCAGUUCAUCUAAAUGUGAAUUUGAAAGCCACAUAGUACAGCAUCUAGAUAUCAAAACAUCGUUUUCGUCACUUUCACUUAAACAUUUCAAAUAAUGAGUUAUACUUUGAGUGAGCAUUUUACUCCUAAAAGUUGACAUUCUUAAAUAUUCGCGUUCAUCAAUGAUAAAUGAAGACAUUUCCCUAGAAUGAUGGUUUUUUAGCAUUUUUUCUUCCUUCAUAUUAGAAGCAUUUACAAUGGAACGCUCUAACUGUUGGAUAUCAUUCUUUUUCUCAAAAUAAAGCUUUUCCAUACGCUUGAAAUCUUCAGUCAGAUCCGGGCUAGAAUAAUUAUUGUCGCAAAAUUGAGCAAACAUACAAUAAAUUUUAGCUUUUUCUUUGGCGUUCAAGUGUGACAUAUGGGAAAGGGAUUUCUCAAAAUAAUUUUUUGAGACUAAUUCAGUCUUUUCGGAUUUUGUUGUAUACAACCAGUUUCCAAGAUAUGCAUAGCUAAUAGAUGGAAAAAUGGACGAAUUUGUUUUUGAAAGUGAUUCGGAGAGCAUGCCAAUGGCAUCAAUCUUUUCAUCACGUUGCCAUAAGAUUUUAGAUGAAAGAAAAUCUAUAUCGUGCUUAAGGUUUUCAUCUGCCAAAUCAAACUUUCGAUAAAGAGCAUCACUUAACAUAGCCACGGAAAAUGCAUUUUGAAGGUUGUCAACUAUUAAAAAAGACUCGCUAAUCUUUAAGAGUUCCAAGAUAUAGUACUUGCGAAAUGAGGCUAGAUCGUCAGACAAGUCCAGUUGUUUGUGUGACUGUAGCAAGGAAAGUAGGACGUUUCUAAUUUCAAGUAAUAACUGAAAA
Molecule: non-coding RNA, 2617 nt
Organism: Schizosaccharomyces pombe (fission yeast)
Lineage: Eukaryota; Fungi; Ascomycota; Schizosaccharomycetes; Schizosaccharomycetales; Schizosaccharomycetaceae
Source: the annotation of a GenBank genome assembly